AUACUUACCUGGCGCAGGGGACACCAUGAUCCUCAAGGUGGUUCCCUCAUUGCGAGGCCUUCUCAUUGCACUACGAGGGGCUGACCAGUGCGAUCGGCGAUGGGUCCAUAGCGUAGUAUUUAUAUUGUAGCCUCAUUGGUCGAAUUGCAGA
Molecule: small nuclear RNA, 151 nt
Filed under: Capitella teleta
Lineage: Eukaryota; Metazoa; Annelida; Polychaeta; Capitellidae
Description: U1 spliceosomal RNA
Rfam family: U1 spliceosomal RNA
About the family: U1 is a small nuclear RNA (snRNA) component of the spliceosome (involved in pre-mRNA splicing). Its 5' end forms complementary base pairs with the 5' splice junction, thus defining the 5' donor site of an intron. There are significant differences in sequence and secondary structure between metazoan and yeast U1 snRNAs, the latter being much longer (568 nucleotides as compared to 164 nucleotides in human).
Source: RNAcentral